This is a non-coding RNA of Phrynosoma platyrhinos (Desert horned lizard), 72 nucleotides long. Lineage: Eukaryota; Metazoa; Chordata; Lepidosauria; Squamata; Phrynosomatidae. The record is from the annotation of a GenBank genome assembly.
GUCAGCAUAGCAUAGUGGUUUGAGUGUUAGCCUAUGACUCUCAAAACCAGGGUUUGAUUCCCAGCUUGGCCA